Long non-coding RNA from Centruroides sculpturatus (bark scorpion), 476 nucleotides. RefSeq lists it as uncharacterized. The record is from RefSeq and is a predicted model, not a curated record. The transcript is spliced from 2 exons. Lineage: Eukaryota; Metazoa; Arthropoda; Arachnida; Scorpiones; Buthidae.
UCCAAUCCCACAUGACCUUCUUUGGAUGAAGACUGGCCUUUGGAGUUUUUAAUGGUGGUUCAUUUUUCUUACCCUAUGAUCGUUUUUGGCUAAUGUUAUUAUAAAUGAUUCACUUUUCAUCACCUGUCACUAAAUGCUUCAGAAAAAGGUCAUUUUCAUUUCAUCUUUCAAGAGAAUCACAAAUGGAGAUGCGAUCCAAUGUUGAAAUACAGUACUGUUUGAUGACUUCGCUAUGUCUGCAAUUUCUUGAGUGUAUAAUGAGGGUUUUCAUCCAAUAAUGCUUUGAUCUGGUCUUCUUCAAUAACGGAAGGUCUUCCCGAGCAGGGAGCAUCUUUAAGGCUGAAAUUACCUGCUUUAAAUUUUGCAAACCACUUUUGAACAGUUGAUUCUGCUACAGACUCCCACCAUAAACAUCACAUAUCUUUUUUGCUGUUUGUACAGCAUUUCUUCCUUUACGAUAAAAAAAAAAAAAAAAA